GAUGAACGCUGGCGGCGUGCCUAAUACAUGCAAGUCGAGCGAACGGACGAGAAGCUUGCUUCUCUGAUGUUAGCGGCGGACGGGUGAGUAACACGUGGAUAACCUACCUAUAAGACUGGGAUAACUUCGGGAAACCGGAGCUAAUACCGGAUGAUAUUUUGAACCGCAUGGUUCAAAAGUGAAAGACGGUCUUGCUGUCACUUAUAGAUGGAUCCGCGCUGCAUUAGCUAGUUGGUAAGGUAACGGCUUACCAAGGCAACGAUGCAUAGCCGACCUGAGAGGGUGAUCGGCCACACUGGAACUGAGACACGGUCCAGACUCCUACGGGAGGCAGCAGUAGGGAAUCUUCCGCAAUGGGCGAAAUCCUGACGGAGCAACGCCGCGUGAGUGAUGAAGGUCUUCGGAUCGUAAAACUCUGUUAUUAGGGAAGAACAUAUGUGUAAGUAACUGUGCACAUCUUGACGGUACCUAAUCGGAAAGCCACGGCUAACUACGUG
Molecule: ribosomal RNA, 497 nt
Filed under: uncultured bacterium
Lineage: Bacteria
Description: partial 16S ribosomal RNA
Rfam family: Bacterial small subunit ribosomal RNA
Source: RNAcentral